Molecule: ribosomal RNA, 739 nt
Filed under: uncultured Bacteroidota bacterium
Lineage: Bacteria; Pseudomonadati; Bacteroidota
Description: bacterial SSU rRNA
Rfam family: Bacterial small subunit ribosomal RNA
Source: RNAcentral
CAGCGCGGGUAGCAAUACCUGGCGGCGACCGGCAAACGGGUGCGGAACACGUACGCAACCUUCCUUUAAGCGGGGAAUAGACCAGGGAAACUUGGAUUAAUACCCCAUGUGGUUUUUGGGUGGCAUCACCUGACAAUCAAAGCUCCGGCACUUAAAGAUGGGCGUGCGGCUGAUUAGGUAGUUGGCGGGGUAACGGCCCACCAAGCCUACGAUCAGUAACUGGUGUGAGAGCACGACCAGUCACACGGGCACUGAGACACGGGCCCGACUCCUACGGGAGGCAGCAGUAAGGAAUAUUGGUCAAUGGACGCAAGUCUGAACCAGCCAUGCCGCGUGGAGGACGAAGGCCCUCUGGGUUGUAAACUUCUUUUAUUGGGGAAGAAACCUGUUCUUUCUAGAGCAGUUGACGGUACCCGAUGAAUAAGCACCGGCUAACUCCGUGCCAGCAGCCGCGGUAAUACGGAGGGUGCAAGCGUUAUCCGGAUUCACUGGGUUUAAAGGGUGCGUAGGUGGGCAGGUAAGUCAGUGGUGAAAUCUCCGGGCUUAACCCGGAAACUGCCGUUGAUACUAUCUGUCUUGAAUAUAGUGGAGGUGAGCGGAAUAUGUCAUGUAGCGGUGAAAUGCUUAGAUAUGACAUAGAACACCCAUUGCGAAGGCAGCUCGCUACACUAUCAUUGACACUGAGGCACGAAAGCGUGGGGAUCAAACAGGAUUAGAUACCCUGGUAGUCCACGCCCUA